This 408-nucleotide ribosomal RNA is filed under the name Trieres chinensis. RNAcentral describes it as "partial Bacterial large subunit ribosomal RNA". It matches the Rfam family "Bacterial large subunit ribosomal RNA", at positions 2003 to 2409 of the family's 2925-position model. Lineage: Eukaryota; Bacillariophyta; Thalassiosirophyceae; Eupodiscales; Parodontellaceae. The record is from RNAcentral.
AACGAUGGCCACACUGUCUCCACCCGAGACUCAGUGAAAUUGAAUUUGCGGUCAAGAUGCCGUAUACCCGCGGCUAGACGGAAAGACCCCGUGAACCUUUACUACAGCUUGGCACUGAACAUUGAACCUACAUGUGUAGGAUAGGUGGGAGGCUUCGAAGCACAGUCGCUAGAUUGUGUGGAGCCGUCCUUGAAAUACCACCCUGUAUACCAUUUUGACCUAACUUGGACCCAUGAAUCUGGGCCGAAGACAGUGUUUGCUGGGCAGUUUGACUGGGGCGGUCUCCUCCUAAAGAGUAACGGAGGAGCGCGAAGGUACCCUCAGCAUGGUCGGAAAUCAUGCAAUGAGUGCAAUAGCAUAAGGGUGCUUGACUGCGAGACAGACACGUCGAGCAGGUACGAAAGUAGG